AGCAGCUUGGCGCAGUGGAAGCGCGGUGAGUUUACUUUACAUUCUUCAACAAGAUGAAUUCGAGAUUCUAACUUCUCAUAGCCGGGCUCAUAACCCGGAGGUCACUGGAUCGAAACCAGUAGCUGCUA
This is a non-coding RNA of Fusarium irregulare, 128 nucleotides long. Lineage: Eukaryota; Fungi; Ascomycota; Sordariomycetes; Hypocreales; Nectriaceae. The record is from the annotation of a GenBank genome assembly.